Molecule: ribosomal RNA, 673 nt
Filed under: uncultured Bacteroidota bacterium
Lineage: Bacteria; Pseudomonadati; Bacteroidota
Description: bacterial SSU rRNA
Rfam family: Bacterial small subunit ribosomal RNA
Source: RNAcentral
ACAUGCAAGUCGAGGGGCAGCACGGGUAGCAAUAUCUGGUGGCGACCGGCGCACGGGUGCGUAACACGUAUACAAUCUACCCUUGACAGGGGGAUAGCCCUCCGAAAGGAGGAUUAAUACCCCAUAAUAAAUUGAAUGGCAUCAUUUGAUUUUGAAAGUUCCGACGGUUAAGGAUGAGUAUGCGUCUGAUUAGCUAGUUGGUGAGGUAAAGGCUCACCAAGGCAACGAUCAGUAGGGGAUCUGAGAGGACUACCCCCCACACUGGUACUGAGACACGGACCAGACUCCUACGGGAGGCAGCAGUAAGGAAUAUUGGUCAAUGGAGGCAACUCUGAACCAGCCAUGCCGCGUGCAGGAAGACGGCCCUAUGGGUUGUAAACUGCUUUUGUACGGGAGAAAACCCUUUCACGUGUGAGAGGUUGAUAGUACCGUAAGAAUAAGCAUCGGCUAACUUCGUGCCAGCAGCCGCGGUAAGACGAAGGAUGCAAGCGUUAUCCGGAUUCAUUGGGUUUAAAGGGAGCGUAGGUGGACUUGUAAGUCAGUGGUGAAAUCUCUCAGCUUAACUGAGAAACUGCCAUUGAUACUGCAGGUCUUGAGUACAGAUGAUGUGGGCGGAAUAUGACAUGUAGUGGUGAAAUACUUAGAUAUGUCAUAGAACACCGAUUGCGAAGGC